UACGUAGGAUGCAAGCGUUGUCCGGAAUCAUUGGGCGUAAAGAGCGUGUAGGCGGCCAGAUAAGUCCGCUGUGAAAUCUCGAGGCUCAACUUCGAGCUGUCGGUGGAAACUGUCUGGCUAGAGUCCGGAAGAGGAGAAUGGAAUUCCUGGUGUAGCGGUGAAAUGCGCAGAUAUCAGGAAGAACACCCGUGGCGAAGGCGGUUCUCUGGGACGGUACUGACGCUGAGACGCGAAAGCGUGGGGAGCGAACAGG
RNAcentral lists this ribosomal RNA (253 nucleotides) under uncultured bacterium. RNAcentral's name for it is "partial 16S ribosomal RNA". It matches the Rfam family "Bacterial small subunit ribosomal RNA", at positions 524 to 776 of the family's 1533-position model. The record is from RNAcentral.